RNAcentral lists this ribosomal RNA (1356 nucleotides) under uncultured bacterium. RNAcentral's name for it is "bacterial SSU rRNA". It matches the Rfam family "Bacterial small subunit ribosomal RNA", at positions 28 to 1381 of the family's 1533-position model. The record is from RNAcentral.
AUUGAACGCUGGCGGCAUGCCUUACACAUGCAAGUCGAACGGCAGCACGGGAGCAAUCCUGGUGGCGAGUGGCGAACGGGUGAGUAAUACAUCGGAACGUGCCCAAUAGUGGGGGGUAGCCCGGCGAAAGCCGGAUUAAUACCGCAUACGACCUGAGGGUGAAAGCAGGGGAUCGCAAGACCUUGCGCUAUUGGAGCGGCCGAUGUCAGAUUAGCUAGUUGGUGGGGUAAAGGCCUACCAAGGCUACGAUCUGUAGUUGGUCUGAGAGGACGACCAGCCACACUGGGACUGAGACACGGCCCAGACUCCUACGGGAGGCAGCAGUGGGGAAUUUUGGACAAUGGGCGCAAGCCUGAUCCAGCAAUGCCGCGUGCAGGAAGAAGGCCUUCGGGUUGUAAACUGCUUUUGUCAGGGAAGAAAUCUUCCGGGCUAAUACCUCGGGAGGAUGACGGUACCUGAAGAAUAAGCACCGGCUAACUACGUGCCAGCAGCCGCGGUAAUACGUAGGGUGCGAGCGUUAAUCGGAAUUACUGGGCGUAAAGCGUGCGCAGGCGGCUUUGCAAGACAGAUGUGAAAUCCCCGGGCUUAACCUGGGAACUGCAUUUGUGACUGCAAGGCUAGAGUACGGUAGAGGGGGAUGGAAUUCCGCGUGUAGCAGUGAAAUGCGUAGAUAUGCGGAGGAACACCGAUGGCGAAGGCAAUCCCCUGGACCUGUACUGACGCUCAUGCACGAAAGCGUGGGGAGCAAACAGGAUUAGAUACCCUGGUAGUCCACGCCCUAAACGAUGUCAACUGGUUGUUGGACGGCCUGCUGUUCAGUAACGAAGCUAACGCGUGAAGUUGACCGCCUGGGGAGUACGGCCGCAAGGUUGGAACUCAAAGGAAUUGACGGGGACCCGCACAAGCGGUGGAUGAUGUGGUUUAAUUCGAUGCAACGCGAAAAACCUUACCUACCCUUGACAUGUCAAGAAUUUUGCAGAGAUGUGAAAGUGCUCGAAAGAGAGCUUGAACACAGGUGCUGCAUGGCCGUCGUCAGCUCGUGUCGUGAGAUGUUGGGUUAAGUCCCGCAACGAGCGCAACCCUUGUCAUUAGUUGCUACAUUCAGUUGGGCACUCUAAUGAGACUGCCGGUGACAAACCGGAGGAAGGUGGGGAUGACGUCAGGUCCUCAUGGCCCUUAUGGGUAGGGCUACACACGUCAUACAAUGGCCGGUACAGAGGGCUGCCAACCCGCGAGGGGGAGCUAAUCCCAGAAAACCGGUCGUAGCCCGGAUCGCAGUCUGCAACUCGACUGCGUGAAGUCGGAAUCGCUAGUAAUCGCGGAUCAGCAUGUCGCGGUGAAUACGUUCCCGGGUCU